Molecule: long non-coding RNA, 467 nt
Filed under: Homo sapiens (human)
Lineage: Eukaryota; Metazoa; Chordata; Mammalia; Primates; Hominidae
Description: non-protein coding lnc-SLC25A51-8:2
Source: RNAcentral
CUGUUCUUGGAAAGCAGCACUUUCAUGCAGCUGGGCCUUGUUUGGGGAAUGAGAGAUGACAGUGUGAGAGAGGUAGGGGCUUGAAGUUGGACCCCACAGGGGAGACCUUGAAGGUUACAUGUCUCCUCCUCCGCAUCCCUCUGCUGUAAUUUCUCCGCUUUCAGCCUUUGCUUUGGUUUCUAACACCAAGCAUUCCUUCCCUUCAAGGAUUUGCCGGGCUGUGUGUGCUCUGUUUGGAGGAAGAGACUGGCGGUACAUUGGCCCUGAUCAACAAGGAACUUAAGUUUCCUUGAAGGAGAUCAGGUGACUGCUUGCCUGUGGUCAAGCCUUCCCCUGAUUAGCUUAGCUUGUGCUGGGAGAGCCCAGAAGUGGUGGCCUGUGGGGAAUGGGUAGGCCAGGCUUGGCCCUAGAAAAUAAACUGGGACGUGUGACUUUCCAACAGAGCUCGCAUGCUGGCUGGCUGACGG